This 703-nucleotide long non-coding RNA is filed under the name Pogona vitticeps (central bearded dragon). Its description in RNAcentral is "lncRNA (ENSPVIG00000019082.1)". Lineage: Eukaryota; Metazoa; Chordata; Lepidosauria; Squamata; Agamidae. The record is from RNAcentral.
CUGGAAACCUGGAGGGAAGGCCUAUUCAAAGAGUGGUUCUCCCUCCCAGAACUUGUGCAACAACAAAGGUCUUCAGCUGUGCUUACUGCCCCUGAGUCCCAGAGUUCCUGCAUCUCCUUCUCUUCCUGCCUUGGCUCCUGUUCUUGUCUCUGCUUGCCUCCUGCAUCUUGGCGCCUUGUUCUGGCUCCAUUCUCCCAGCCCAUUGGUGCUCCUGCCUCCACUUGGUCAUGACCAACUGAUCAGUGAGUGCCUUUGGACUUGAUACUCUGUGUGGGGGAGUGGUCCUGCCCCUGGCGAGAUACUGCCUGGGAUUUCUUGGACUGUGACAUCCUCACUGGAAAAAUAGUUCAGUAUGAUGAUUCAUUAGGAUAAAUUUAUGUCUUUCACCAUGUUAAUAAAGAUCCAGGAGCCAAGUCAGAAAAGAAGUUGGCAACCAUAUGGGGAGAACGAACACCGGAGGAUGAGGACAGAUCUCCAAUCCCUUUGACUCCCUCCUGUACCCUCCGGACUGACCUGAACUUCGGAGAGCUGCAUCUUGGUGGCCAGCUUGCGUCUCUCUGCAGCGCCCAAGUACUUGUGCCGCUUGAAGGAGCUCUCCAGGGUGCUGAUCUGCUCCAGGCUGAAAGCGAUCUGCAAGCUACAACAAUAUUGAUCACUCUGAGCCUGAUUGCUUGGAAGCAGAGAAAUAUCGAUCCAAGAUCUU